RNAcentral lists this ribosomal RNA (466 nucleotides) under uncultured bacterium. RNAcentral's name for it is "partial 16S ribosomal RNA". It matches the Rfam family "Bacterial small subunit ribosomal RNA", at positions 28 to 507 of the family's 1533-position model. The record is from RNAcentral.
GACGAACGCUGGCGGCGCGCCUAACACAUGCAGGUCGAACGAGCGAGAGAGAGCUUGCUUUCUCGAGCGAGUGGCGAACGGGUGAGUAACGCGUGAGGAACCUGCCUCAAAGAGGGGGACAACAGUUGGAAACGACUGCUAAUACCGCAUAAGCCCACGGUGCCGCAUGGCACCGAGGGAAAAGGAGCAAUCCGCUUUGAGAUGGCCUCGCGUCCGAUUAGCUAGUUGGUGAGGUAAUGGCCCACCAAGGCGACGAUCGGUAGCCGGACUGAGAGGUUGAACGGCCACAUUGGGACUGAGACACGGCCCAGACUCCUACGGGAGGCAGCAGUGGGGAAUAUUGCACAAUGGGGGAAACCCUGAUGCAGCGACGCCGCGUGGAGGAAGAAGGUCUUCGGAUUGUAAACUCCUGUUGUUGGGGAAGAUAAUGACGGUACCCAACAAGGAAGUGACGGCUAACUACGUA